Molecule: ribosomal RNA, 449 nt
Filed under: uncultured bacterium
Lineage: Bacteria
Description: bacterial SSU rRNA
Rfam family: Bacterial small subunit ribosomal RNA
Source: RNAcentral
ACGCCAGACUCCUACGGGAGGCAGCAGUGGGGAAUAUUGCACAAUGGGGGAAACCCUGAUGCAGCGACGCCGCGUGAGUGAAGAAGUAUUUCGGUAUGUAAAGCUCUAUCAGCAGGGAAGAUAGUGACGGUACCUGAGUAAGAAGCCCCGGCUAACUACGUGCCAGCAGCCGCGGGAAUACGUAGGGGGCAAGCGUUAUCCGGAUUUACUGGGUGUAAAGGGAGCGUAGACGGCAUGGCAAGUCUGAAGUGAAAGCCCGGGGCUCAACCGCGGGACUGCUUUGGAAACUGUUAAGCUGGAGUGCAGGAGAGGUAAGUGGAAUUCCUAGUGUAGCGGUGAAAUGCGUAGAUAUUAGGAGGAACACCAGUGGCGAAGGCGGCUUACUGGACUGUAACUGACGUUGAGGCUCGAAAGCGUGGGGAGCAAACAGGAUUAGAUACCCCAGUAAC